This 466-nucleotide ribosomal RNA is filed under the name uncultured bacterium. RNAcentral describes it as "bacterial SSU rRNA". It matches the Rfam family "Bacterial small subunit ribosomal RNA", at positions 330 to 792 of the family's 1533-position model. The record is from RNAcentral.
CCCAGACUCCUACGGGAGGCAGCAGUGAGGAAUAUUGGUCAAUGGGCGGAAGCCUGAACCAGCCAAGUCGCGUGAGGGAUUAAGGCCCUGCGGGUCGUAAACCUCUUUUGCCGGGGAGCAGAGGUCCGGACGUGUCCGGGCCGGGAGAGUACCCGGAGAAAAAGCACCGGCUAACUCCGUGCCAGCAGCCGCGGUAAUACGGAGGGUGCGAGCGUUAAUCGGAAUUACUGGGCGUAAAGCGCUCGUAGGCGGUAUGUCAAGUCAAGGGUGAAAUCCCCGCGCUCAACGUGGGAACUGCCUUUGAAACUGGCAAACUGGAGUGUGUGAGAGGAUAGUGGAAUUCCAGGUGUAGGAGUGAAAUCCGUAGAUAUCUGGAGGAACAUCAGUGGCGAAGGCGACUAUCUGGCACAUAACUGACGCUGAGGAGCGAAAGCGUGGGUAGCAAACAGGAUUAGAUACCCGUGUA